ACUCAAGAGACAAUCCACUGACCUUUACCACUGAGUUCCUGCUCUCACCACCAAUACUGCACUGGCUCCUCUAUUACAUACCUGCUCACACAACAAGGUGUGCUGGAGUCAGAGCAGUUCCCCAGCAGCUGCAACCCACUCCAUAAUCAAGACCUCUACAAAUACUCAGUCCUGCCACUUCCACUCUACCAGAUCGUAAUCUCUGUUCAGUCAGUAUACGGGUCUAGCUAGUUGUUGUUAUUUAAGAUCCUGUAUCCUGCUGUGCCUAUUACCUUGCCUGACGCUGUUUCUACUCUCACUGCAGUUUUGCCUCUCUGACUCUGGUUCCUGUCUCCUGUUCCACAUCUCACCACCCUGCUACCCUGUUCUGGACUCACCACACCACCACUCCCUUGGAUUCCCCUCCGGACCUGUUUACCCUGUCCCAACCCAGCUCACUCCAACCUCAGCCUCCACAUCUGGUUUCCUACAACUCUUCAGAGCUUCCCUGGAUCUG
Molecule: long non-coding RNA, 496 nt
Filed under: Salmo salar (Atlantic salmon)
Lineage: Eukaryota; Metazoa; Chordata; Actinopteri; Salmoniformes; Salmonidae
Description: lncRNA (ENSSSAG00000097491.1, ENSSSAG00000098048.1, ENSSSAG00020080438.1, ENSSSAG00075066805.1)
Source: RNAcentral